This 307-nucleotide long non-coding RNA is filed under the name Malus domestica (apple). Its description in RNAcentral is "long non-coding RNA (MDOM_LNC013690)". Lineage: Eukaryota; Viridiplantae; Streptophyta; Magnoliopsida; Rosales; Rosaceae. The record is from RNAcentral.
AAAAAAUUGAAUUUCAUGAGCUAAAGUUACAUUUUCAGUAAAACAAUAACCCAAUUGAUAACAAGUUUAUUAAAAUAAAUUAAAUAACUGGGGAGUAAAUUCUUACAAGGGCAAGAUUGGCAUUGGCACAACUGCUGAUUUUGAUUAGAAGCACCUUCUUGUCCUUGAGCAGCUGAAGAUUCAUGCGAGCAAUUCUGACAAGUCUUGAGAACAUUCUUCAGCCGCUUGUACUCGACAUGCGAGCAAUUCUCCGAGAAUCGUAUCUUUUCCUUGUGCAAAAACUCGGUGUAAGUCUCUCCAAAUUUCA